UACGGAGGGUGCAAGCGUUAUCCGGAUUCACUGGGUUUAAAGGGUGCGUAGGAGGGCAGGUAAGUCAGUGGUGAAAUCUCCGAGCUUAACUUGGAAACUGCCGUUGAUACUAUCUGUCUUGAAUAUUGUGGAGGUGAGCGGAAUAUGUCAUGUAGCGGUGAAAUGCUUAGAUAUGACACAGAACACCGAUUGCGAAGGCAGCUAGCUAGACCGACAUUGACGCUGAGGCACGAAAGCGUGGGGAUCAAACAGG
Molecule: ribosomal RNA, 253 nt
Filed under: uncultured bacterium
Lineage: Bacteria
Description: partial 16S ribosomal RNA
Rfam family: Bacterial small subunit ribosomal RNA
Source: RNAcentral